RNAcentral lists this small nuclear RNA (160 nucleotides) under Catagonus wagneri (Chacoan peccary). Its description in RNAcentral is "U2 spliceosomal RNA (ENSCWAG00000015288.1)". It matches the Rfam family "U2 spliceosomal RNA". From Rfam's summary of the family: U2 is a small nuclear RNA (snRNA) component of the spliceosome (involved in pre-mRNA splicing). Complementary binding between U2 snRNA (in an area lying towards the 5' end but 3' to hairpin I) and the branchpoint sequence (BPS) of the intron results the bulging out of an unpaired adenosine, on the BPS, which initiates a nucleophilic attack at the intronic 5' splice site, thus starting the first of two transesterification reactions that mediate splicing. Lineage: Eukaryota; Metazoa; Chordata; Mammalia; Artiodactyla; Tayassuidae. The record is from Rfam by way of RNAcentral.
AUCGCUUCUCGGCCUUUUGGCUAAGAUCAAGUGUAGUAUUUAGAGGACAGUUUGUUCUGUGGUUUGCCUGUUGUUUUGUGCACAAUUUAUAAUUUAAAAAAUAGGGAGUUCCUGUCAUGGCUCAGUGGAAACCAAUCCCACUGGUAUCCGUGGAGACGCA